RNAcentral lists this ribosomal RNA (492 nucleotides) under uncultured bacterium. RNAcentral describes it as "partial 16S ribosomal RNA". It matches the Rfam family "Bacterial small subunit ribosomal RNA", at positions 30 to 507 of the family's 1533-position model. The record is from RNAcentral.
AUUGAACGCUGGCGGCAUGCUUUACACAUGCAAGUCGAACGGUAACAGGCCUUCGGGUGCUGACGAGUGGCGAACGGGUGAGUAAUGCAUCCGAACGUGCCCCGAGGCUGGGGAUAACGCAGCGAAAGCUGUGCUAAUACCGCAUGUGAUCUGAUGAUGAAAGCGGGGGACCAGGCAGCAAUGUUUGGCCUCGCGCCUUUGGAGCGGCCGAUGUCAGAUUAGGUAGUUGGUGGGGUAAAGGCCUACCAAGCCGACGAUCUGUAGCUGGUCUGAGAGGACGACCAGCCACACUGGGACUGAGACACGGCCCAGACUCCUACGGGAGGCAGCAGUGGGGAAUUUUGGACAAUGGGCGCAAGCCUGAUCCAGCAAUGCCGCGUGCGGGAAGAAGGCCUUCGGGUUGUAAACCGCUUUUGUACGGAACGAAAAGGCUCUGGCUAAUACCUGGGGCUGAUGACGGUACCGUAAGAAUAAGCACCGGCUAACUACGUG